GAGUACGUGAAACCGUUUAGGGGUAAACCUGAGAAACCCGAAAGGUCGAAGGGAGAAAUUCAUUCGCGUUUCGUCAUCGGCGAUUAGCGGUCGCGCGACGGAAUCGUACAGUUAUCGAUUUCGCACCUUCCGUUAGUCGAACCGGAGACGAACGCGUGCACUUUUCUCCUGGUAGGACGUCGCGAUCCGUCGGGUGUCGGUCUACGGUUCGCGGAGGAGCCCGUUCGUCGUUCUUUACGGAACGUGUACGAGCGGACCCGCGUGACCCGGCCGACUCGCUCGACGGUAUACGAAAGGUUCGGAGCCGCCGUUAAAGCGUUCGGCUCUCGGCAAGCGCGUCAGAUGUCGUUGGCAAUCGGACCUAGUGCCGAUUCUAACCUCUGACGACUGUUGGCCGGGAAGUUCUCGAACAGACUCCCGUUUUCUCUUUCACGAGAGAAAGAACCGAUCAGCGACGCUAUAGCUUUGGGUACUUUCAGG
RNAcentral lists this ribosomal RNA (480 nucleotides) under Cnemonyx panamensis. Its description in RNAcentral is "partial 28S ribosomal RNA". Lineage: Eukaryota; Metazoa; Arthropoda; Insecta; Coleoptera; Curculionidae. The record is from RNAcentral.